This 75-nucleotide transfer RNA is filed under the name Planctomycetota bacterium. Its description in RNAcentral is "tRNA-Lys". It matches the Rfam family "tRNA". Rfam says of the family: Transfer RNA (tRNA) molecules are approximately 80 nucleotides in length. Lineage: Bacteria; Pseudomonadati; Planctomycetota. The record is from RNAcentral.
GGGGGCGUAGCUCAGUGGUAGAGCAUCGGCCUUUUAAGCCGCUGGUCGAAGGUUCGAGUCCUUCCGCCCUCACCA